AGACGCUUAAUCUAACAAAGAAUAUUGAUUUCGACUUAAUAAAUUUUGGUUUAAAUCCAAAAGCAUCUA
This 69-nucleotide transfer RNA is filed under the name Ambystoma laterale (blue-spotted salamander). RNAcentral describes it as "tRNA-Arg". It matches the Rfam family "tRNA". Rfam says of the family: Transfer RNA (tRNA) molecules are approximately 80 nucleotides in length. Their secondary structure includes four short double-helical elements and three loops (D, anti-codon, and T loops). Lineage: Eukaryota; Metazoa; Chordata; Amphibia; Caudata; Ambystomatidae. The record is from RNAcentral.